UACGUAGGGUGCAAGCGUUAUCCGGAAUUAUUGGGCGUAAAGAGCUCGUAGGCGGUUUGUCGCGUCUGCUGUGAAAACUGGAGGCUCAACCUCCCAGCCUGCAGUGGGUACGGGCAGACUAGAGUGCGGUAGGGGGAGAUUGGAAUUCCUGGUGUAGCGGUGGAAUGCGCAGAUAUCAGGAGGAACACCGAUGGCGAAGGCAGAUCUCUGGGCCGUAACUGACGCUGAGGAGCGAAAGCAUGGGGAGCGAACAGG
RNAcentral lists this ribosomal RNA (255 nucleotides) under uncultured bacterium. Its description in RNAcentral is "partial 16S ribosomal RNA". It matches the Rfam family "Bacterial small subunit ribosomal RNA", at positions 524 to 776 of the family's 1533-position model. The record is from RNAcentral.